Molecule: ribosomal RNA, 468 nt
Filed under: uncultured bacterium
Lineage: Bacteria
Description: partial 16S ribosomal RNA
Rfam family: Bacterial small subunit ribosomal RNA
Source: RNAcentral
GACGAACGCUGGCGGCGUGCUUAACACAUGCAAGUCGAACGGAAAGGCCCUGCUUUUGUGGGGUGCUCGAGUGGCGAACGGGUGAGUAACACGUGAGUAACCUGCCCUUGACUUUGGGAUAACUUCAGGAAACUGGGGCUACUACCGGAUAGGAGCUCCUGCUGCAUGGUGGGGGUUGGAAAGUUUCGGCGGUUGGGGAUGGACGCGCGGCUUAUCAGCUUGUUGGUGGGGUAGUGGCUUACCAAGGCUUUGGCGGGUAGCCGGCCUGGGAGGGUGACCGGCCACAUUGGGACUGAGAUACGGCCCAGACUCCUACGGGAGGCAGCAGUGGGGAAUAUGGCACAAUGGGCGGAAGCCUGAUGAAGCAACGCCGCGUGCGUGAUGACGGCCUUCGGGUUGUAAACCGCUUUCGCCUGUGACGAAGCGUGAGUGACGGUAAUGGGUAAAGAAGCACCGGCUAACUACGUG